AUUUUUUCUUCUGAAAAAAACCCUACUCUCUCCGCCUCCCUCAGCUCUCUCUUUAUUCCUCAAACCUCAUCCUUACAAGCCAGUUUAAAGCUUUGUCUCUGUGUUUUUAACUGAAGAGCUGUGCUCCUCUGCCUCUCUCACUGAGUUCUCUCUACGUGUGUAACAGUGUCAUGGAUUCAAUGGAGCCUACACAACCUGAUGUUUGGUGGAAUAUUUCUAAGUUCCAUAUAAGGCACCAGGUACUCUUAGUUGAUUAUGAAGUUAGCAGAUGACCGUUCAAAUUCCUACCAAUCAGCAUCAAGUCCUUGCUAGGCAGUUGGAAUCACAUGGGUUGGGCAGCUCCAAGCCUCAUGAACAAUGUUGAGGAAAAGAGAAAGGCAAGCUCACACAGAAAAGUGCUGCAAAUUAUAGGAACCAAAUGUAUCACUGAGUUUUGUAUGAAAUGGGUGGAGACUAACCACCUCAGAACUGUCAAAGCUACACCAACUCAGACUGAUCCAUGGAUUGAUCUUUCCCAUUUUGUCAUUUGGCCUCGUUUUUGUGUAUCUAAAAAUUUCUUCUUUGUUUGUGUUUAUGGGCUGGCCCUUUUUGUGUUAUUUGGUUUAAGGCUCUCUUUUUUUUGUUGAAGUAUCUGAAUUUUAGUUGGUUGAAUUGUUAUUUGGAUUAUAAUUUGUUUUGUUGAUUGGUGUUAUUUUGGUUGGUUCUAUUUA
Molecule: long non-coding RNA, 710 nt
Organism: Quercus robur (English oak)
Lineage: Eukaryota; Viridiplantae; Streptophyta; Magnoliopsida; Fagales; Fagaceae
Exons: 4
Source: RefSeq, a predicted model, not a curated record